This 337-nucleotide ribosomal RNA is filed under the name uncultured Tomentella. RNAcentral's name for it is "eukaryotic LSU rRNA". The stretch from base 282 to 337 matches the Rfam family "Eukaryotic large subunit ribosomal RNA", at positions 1 to 56 of the family's 3401-position model. Lineage: Eukaryota; Fungi; Basidiomycota; Agaricomycetes; Thelephorales; Thelephoraceae. The record is from RNAcentral.
UUGAACGCACCUUGCGCCCUUUGGCUAUUCCGAAGGGGCAUGCCUGUUUGAGUAUCAUGAACACCUCAACUCUCGUGGUUUGCCAUGAUGAGUUUGGACUUUGGGGGGUCUUGCUGGCUGCGGUCAACUCCUCUCGAAUAGAUCAGCUUGCCAGUGUUUGGUGGCAUCACAGGUGUGAUAACUAUCUACGCUUGUGGUUUUCCACCAGGUAACCUUCAGUGAUGGAGGUUCGCUGGAGCUCAUAAAUGUCCCUCCUCAGCGAGGACAGCUUCUUGAAUGUUCGAUCUCAAAUCAGGUAGGGCUACCCGCUGAACUUAAGCAUAUCAAUAAGCGGAGG